This 432-nucleotide ribosomal RNA is filed under the name uncultured bacterium. RNAcentral's name for it is "partial 16S ribosomal RNA". It matches the Rfam family "Bacterial small subunit ribosomal RNA", at positions 29 to 506 of the family's 1533-position model. The record is from RNAcentral.
AACGAACGCUGGCGGCAGGCUUAACACAUGCAAGUCGAACGCACCUUUCGGGGUGAGUGGCAGACGGGUGAGUAACGCGUGGGAAUCUACCCUUCUCUACGGGAUAGCUCCGGGAAACUGGAAUUAAUACCGUAUACGUCCUGAGGGAGAAAGAUUUAUCGGGGAAGGAUGAGCCCGCGUUGGAUUAGCUAGUUGGUGGGGUAAAGGCCUACCAAGGCGACGAUCCAUAGCUGGUCUAAGAGGAUGAUCAGCCACAUUGGGACUGAGACACGGCCCAAACUCCUACGGGAGGCAGCAGUGGGGAAUAUUGGACAAUGGGCGCAAGCCUGCUCCAGCCAUGCCGCGUGAGUGAUGAAGGCCCUAGGGUUGUAAAGCUCUUUCAGUGGGGACGAUAAUGACGGUACCCACAGAAGAAGCCCCGGCUAACUUCGU